Molecule: small nuclear RNA, 197 nt
Organism: Pistacia vera
Lineage: Eukaryota; Viridiplantae; Streptophyta; Magnoliopsida; Sapindales; Anacardiaceae
Product: U2 spliceosomal RNA
Exons: 1
Source: RefSeq, a predicted model, not a curated record
AUAACUUUCUCGGCCUUUGGGCUAAGAUCAAGCGUAGUAUCUGUUCUUAUCAGCUUGAUGUCUGAUAAGUGGGACAUCGUCCCACAUGUUAUUAAGUUUAUGUUUUUUAGGGGAAGAGCUCGCCACACUAGCUUGCUACUUGAGCCUUCAUGCGUCGGCCUCACGUUUCACUACAGCAAGGGCCUGGCACACCCCUU